This 424-nucleotide ribosomal RNA is filed under the name uncultured bacterium. RNAcentral's name for it is "bacterial SSU rRNA". It matches the Rfam family "Bacterial small subunit ribosomal RNA", at positions 355 to 796 of the family's 1533-position model. The record is from RNAcentral.
UGGGGAAUCUUGGACAAUGGGCGCAAGCCUGAUCCAGCCAUGCCGCGUGGAUGAUGAAGGCCUUAGGGUUGUAAAAUCCUUUCGUUGGGGACGAUAAUGACGGUACCCAAAGAAGAAGCUCCGGCUAACUUCGUGCCAGCAGCCGCGGUAAUACGAAGGGGGCUAGCGUUGUUCGGAUUUACUGGGCGUAAAGCGCGUGUAGGCGGGCUGGAAAGUUGGGGGUGAAAUCCCGAGGCUCAACCUCGGAACUGCCUCCAAAACUUCCAGCCUGGACUCAAGUAGAGGCAAGUGGAAUUGCGAGUGUAGAGGUGAAAUUCGUAGAUAUUCGCAGGAACACCAGUGGCGAAGGCGACUUGCUGGACUUGUAGUGACGCUGAGACGCGAAAGCGUGGGGAGCAAACAGGAUUAGAUACCCCCGUAGUCC